This 538-nucleotide ribosomal RNA is filed under the name uncultured bacterium. Its description in RNAcentral is "partial 16S ribosomal RNA". It matches the Rfam family "Bacterial small subunit ribosomal RNA", at positions 355 to 902 of the family's 1533-position model. The record is from RNAcentral.
UGGGGAAUAUUGCACAAUGGGCGAAAGCCUGAUGCAGCAACGCCGCGUGAGGGACGACGGCCUUCGGGUUGUAAACCUCUUUUAGCAAGGAAGAAGCGAAAGUGACGGUACUUGCAGAAAAAGCGCCGGCUAACUACGUGCCAGCAGCCGCGGUAAUACGUAGGGCGCAAGCGUUAUCCGGAAUUAUUGGGCGUAAAGAGCUCGUAGGCGGUUUGUCGCGUCUGCUGUGAAAACCCCGAGGCUCAACCUCGGGCCUGCAGUGGGUACGGGCAGACUAGAGUGCGGUAGGGGAGAUUGGAACUCCUGGUGUAGCGGUGGAAUGCGCAGAUAUCAGGAAGAACACCGAUGGCGAAGGCAGAUCUCUGGGCCGUAACUGACGCUGAGGAGCGAAAGGGUGGGGAGCAAACAGGCUUAGAUACCCUGGUAGUCCACCCCGUAAACGUUGGGAACUAGUUGUGGGGUCCAUUCCACGGAUUCCGUGACGCAGCUAACGCAUUAAGUUCCCCGCCUGGGGAGUACGGCCGCAAGGCUAAAACUU